Molecule: long non-coding RNA, 564 nt
Filed under: Bos taurus (domestic cattle)
Lineage: Eukaryota; Metazoa; Chordata; Mammalia; Artiodactyla; Bovidae
Description: long non-coding RNA NONBTAT011763
Source: RNAcentral
UGUAUGUUUUCCUGCAGGUCCAUGGCUAGCAGUGAUCGCCAAUCCAUGGAAUUCCUUUUUCUAGACUAUGUUAAAAUAUGUUACACAAAUGGUGAAAAGACUACCUAAUUUAUGGUGAAGGUAGCUUCUUGAUAUUUAGAACCCUCUCAGAAUGAUUAAACAUAAACCUAAGAGCUUUUGUUAUUUUCUAUUUGUAAUACUUUUUAGGGCACCAAAAGUUUCUAAUUAACUUUCCUGUUAUAUAAAGAUAUUGCUUUUUAUUUAGGUCCAUGAUUACUUUGAAAUUUCCCAUAAUGAAAUAAAAAUAGGACUAUUUUACUAUAGCAUCACUUUUUUCCCUCGCACGGUAUAUAUUACUGAUAGCUAAGUUCAGUUGACAAGAAAGGAAACUGCUCUGCUCUAUAAUAUAUAAAAACCAGCCUUGUGAAGCAUGAGUUAGAGUAAAUGACUAGUUCAUAGAUAUUUUUGCAGUUACCAGUGAUGAAAGUUCCUCAGAAAAGAUGAACAAAGUUAGCUAAUAUUUGAAUUAUUUGUUUCUUUAAGUCCCUUGAAAGGCAUUUUCUA